UGGUGGAGUGAUUUGUUUGGUUGAUUCCGUGAACGAACGAGAUCUCAACCUCUUAAUAGGAGAGGGAUCAACUGUGGUCGCCCGCUUUCGGGUGGGUUGGCCGAUCUCUGCUCCCUUUUAGAGGAACACCGCAUGUUUAACAGUGCGAUGGAGCGAGCCAAUAGCA
This 166-nucleotide ribosomal RNA is filed under the name uncultured eukaryote. Its description in RNAcentral is "partial 18S ribosomal RNA". It matches the Rfam family "Eukaryotic small subunit ribosomal RNA", at positions 1299 to 1458 of the family's 1831-position model. The record is from RNAcentral.